Molecule: non-coding RNA, 157 nt
Filed under: Acetobacter fallax
Lineage: Bacteria; Pseudomonadati; Pseudomonadota; Alphaproteobacteria; Acetobacterales; Acetobacteraceae
Description: 6S RNA
Rfam family: 6S / SsrS RNA
About the family: E. coli 6S RNA was the first non coding RNA to be sequenced, but its function was unknown until recently. It consists of 184 nucleotides that fold into an extended hairpin structure with a large single-stranded internal bulge.
Source: RNAcentral
GCGGAGCUGCCCGGUUCGUCAGGCAAUUUCAUCCCCUGGGCCGAUAAGCACUUCCUCGGGAGCUGGCGCUGCUGUGAUCGUGGUCAUGGUAUCCGGCGCCCACCUGCACUAGCAGGUCCUGGAGGUUGUAUAGACCAACGGCCAUGGUGGCUCCGCA